This 26-nucleotide non-coding RNA is filed under the name Homo sapiens (human). Lineage: Eukaryota; Metazoa; Chordata; Mammalia; Primates; Hominidae. The record is from RNAcentral.
AUACAUCUUCGGGGUGUUUUUGCCUU